Molecule: ribosomal RNA, 468 nt
Filed under: uncultured bacterium
Lineage: Bacteria
Description: partial 16S ribosomal RNA
Rfam family: Bacterial small subunit ribosomal RNA
Source: RNAcentral
GACGAACGCUGGCGGCGUGCUUAACACAUGCCAGUCGAACGGAAAGGCCCUGCUUUUGUGGGGUGCUCGAGUAGCGAACGGGUGAGUAACACGUGAGUAACCUGCCCUUGACUUUGGGAUAACUUCAGGAAACUGGGGCUAAUACCGGAUAGGAGCUCCUGCUGCAUGGUGGGGGUUGGAAAGUUUCGGCGGUUGGGGAUGGACUCGCGGCUUAUCAGCUUGUUGGUGGGGUAGUGGCUUACCAAGGCUUUGACGGGUAGCCGGCCUGAGAGGGUGACCGGCCACAUUGGGACUGAGAUACGGCCCAGACUCCUACGGGAGGCAGCAGUGGGGAAUAUUGCACAAUGGGCGGAAGCCUGAUGCAGCAACGCCGCGUGCGGGAUGACGGCCUUCGGGUUGUAAACCGCUUUCGCCUGUGACGAAGCGUGAGUGACGGUAAUGGGUAAAGAAGCACCGGCUAACUACGUG